GAUUUAACAAAAUGAUUAGUUCUAUUCGUAAUCGACCGGUCGGGGGUUCGAAUCCCCCAUGGAGCUCCA
Molecule: transfer RNA, 69 nt
Filed under: Caldicellulosiruptor owensensis OL
Lineage: Bacteria; Bacillati; Bacillota; Caldicellulosiruptorales; Caldicellulosiruptoraceae
Description: tRNA-Und (NNN) (tRNA-Und-NNN-1-1)
Source: RNAcentral